This is an RNA transcript of Vespula vulgaris, 5998 nucleotides long. RefSeq lists it as uncharacterized. The transcript is spliced from 3 exons. NCBI's taxonomy places the organism in Eukaryota, Metazoa, Arthropoda, Insecta, Hymenoptera, Vespidae. The record is from RefSeq and is a predicted model, not a curated record.
AAAACUGUUCGAUUUGUUUGAAUGUUUUUGAUUUAGAAAAUUCUAAAACCGCUUUUAUUUACUGACAUUUGUUUCUUCUCUUUCCUUACCGUUCUAAUAUAUUGAAGAUCUUGCAAUUUUGAUUUCAGACAUUUUGAUUUACCCAGUUGUAGUUAAAAACUGAUAUCUUAGCCGUUACAAGAAUAUUUGUAAUUCCUAGUUUUGUUUUUUUUCUAGAUUUCACUAUAUAUAAUAUCAUUCAAGUAAACGGAACAGCAUUUUUCGAUUAAACUUUGAAUUUUGGCGAAUGCUUUCGGCUUAAAAUAGAGAAUUACGAAGUGUCCUUAGAUGGUGAAAAUGUAGUACCAAUUAUCCCGUCAGCGUUAUGACUAUAAAUACAUGUUUUUUAUUUCUGAUUGGAAGUACACAUUUCUCAAAUAAGGAUACGGGGGUGGAUCUUGUUCAGUGUAUAGUGUUUGUACUUUUUUCUAUACUUUGUAUUUUGAGCUACUUGUUUCUUCUAAGUUUACAUUUGCUUUUGUAUCUGCUAAUAAUCACUGAUCGAUUCUAUCAUUUAUUCUCAAUGUAAAUUCCUCAUCAAGGUUCCGUCCAUUUUUUUGGAAUAUAAAUUGGAAAGGUGGUACGAUAGGAUUUUGGCACAAGGAAAAAAUUUUGUUUCUCUGGGCAUGUUGCACUGCAUCAGCGAUGAUAAUUUGGGGAUAACCCCGUCUCUUCCUUGAGUUGUAGAUUCCAUUGAUCGCAAUAAAAAAGGUACAAAGCGAUACAAAGCCCGAAAUCUGUUCGUUGUUCUCUGCAAAAUACCGCUCGCCACCUUUUCAUAAAUUAAUGGUAGAAUGUAAUUUUUUUUUUAAGGAUUUUGUGCAGCUCGUGAGCUCGUAAAAAUGCGUGAUAAAAUGCACUUCGUACAUUUAACUUGCAAAUGAUAUAUUUGAAGUAUUUAGAUACAAAGCUUAAGAUAUUCCUGAUUACCUUUAUUGUAUAUCAUUAGUUGUUUGGCUACGAUUGAGGGGAUGAACUAUUAAGAUUCAGUUGUCUAAAUAUUUUUAACUCGAAAUAUGUAGAAGUAGAUUGUGCUGGAUGUCUCGGAGUGAUCAGUCAUGUUAGUAAGAUUCGGUUGUUUUAUUAUUUUAGACUUGAAUGUGUAUAUUGAAUCCUUAAUGAUUUCUUUUGAACUAUCCGCGAAAAUAUAAUAAUAAUAAAAUUAGGAAAAGAAAGUGCUUAAGUAAAAAGUGAUUGGAGAGGAAACGAAAGAUGCUUAUUGAUCAUAAGCGUAUAAGGAUAGUUUGUUCAAAAUAAUUAAAUAAUCUCUAGUAUGAUCCUUCGUUUUGGUAACCAUAUUGAUUUCUUCUUGUCGAAUUGAUAUCUUAAAGGUAGGUUCCAAAUAAUCACUGCUCGUUUUGUUCAGGAAUCUAAUUUCACUGUUCAUUUAUCGCCCAUCUCAGAUUAUCGAAGAAAACGUAUUUGUACUAAUAAUGCCUAAACUCGGACAAUGGUAUGAAUCAUGAGAAACGUAAGAAACAUGUUUCUUUUUAUCUAAGUAUUUUCUUAUAGAUUGUCUAACGAUAUUACAAGGAUAGAUAUUCUCAAUAAUGCUACAUGAUCGUAAUAGAUAGUAGCAUGAAUAUUCGAAAGUGUGCGCAUGUGCUUCAAUGGGGCAGUUCCUGGAUAUGUAACUACACGUGUAAUAUUCGAUGCGGCUAUCUCAGUUUUCCUUUUAAUGCCCUUGAGUGACUGUAUGAGUUUCGAUGCGAUCAAGUGCUUGAUGGAGGAAGAACUUAACGUGUUAAUAAUUGCUAUGUACUAAUGAUUGCUGUAUCAUAAGAGAAAAUUGCAGACAUUUUAAAGGAAGCAUAUGACAGUAUCAUGGGAGGAGACUUUGGUGUGAACAAAACAUUAAAAAGGAUUCGCAAAAAAAUAUUAUUAAAUUGGUUAUAAAUAGAAAGGUAGAAAAUUAAUGUUUAAAUGCGAGAGAAUGUUUUACAACAAUGAUUUGUACAUGAGGAGAAUUUCAUCUAUUAUGCGAUUUUUGAGAUAUUCCAUGGCAGCAUCCCACAAUCCAAAAUGAAAUAGUUGUAAUGGAAGGAAGUGCCAAUAUAUGCCCUCAUUUGUAAACUUGUGCUACAUUAGUACUCUUGUGUUGCUUAUGUUGCUAUCAAUUAAGUUCUUUUGGAUUGACUGUUGCCAUUAUCUGAUUUACAGCACUUAUGAUAUUAGUCACAUUAUCUAACUAUAGGUCGGAGUAUUAUCCUCUACAGGCAAUGAAUCUUUUUAAAGUGAUGAAAAAGCAUCUGUAGUUACGUCACUCCAUGUAUACUGCCUUUAUGAUAAAACGUACGAAGAUAGCGAUGUGUAAUUUGACGUGAUUGCGAUUUCGACAUUAUUUUUCUUUCACAAAUAUCAAACUGCUUUAAACUAUUUCUACAUCGAUGAAAGGACGUGCUUUUCAUAUAUGAUCAACAGGCAUGUUUAUGAUGUACUCAGGGGUAAUAGGAUUUGCUUGAUAGCAAGUAAUGCAUUUAUUUAAAAUUUGUUUUAUGGCGACCAUUAACUAGCCAAAAUGUAUCAUGGACAGCAUUAAGUGUAGCUUGAGUAGCAAUAGUUAUUACCGUAAUCUACUUUCUCAUGACUCUCACGUAUGUUGAGCUUGGAAACAUAAAAUCUUCUUGAUAUUAAUGUAGGAUAUUUUUAAUUGUAAGCCAAGUUAGAUUUAUAUAGCAGGAUGUCUAUUCUCAGUGUACUCUGAUCGUCAAUAAAUAGAUUUAGUGCUGUGAUGCCUACUUGUAGAUUUUUAUCUGUAGAUAAGGUUGUGAUUACGUCCGAAAAAGAUUCCCUAUGGACUAUUUUUAUUAUUGAUGAUAAGACUCCGUUUAAUUACCCGGUUGUUAGUUCAUGUUUCAAUUUUUCACCACAUCGAUUUUGAGUGUGUGAAUAAAGCGUAGUAGAGGUAGUUUAUAUCAGUAAGUAUACCAAACAGUAUGAAUUUCUAAUGGUAUUUUAAGAUAAUUACAAUUGCCAAAGACUGCAUGAUUAGUUUAUCUCUGGCCAAGACUAGCAUUAACAAUUCGGAGGUUCAAUCGAACAAUUUUGAAUAAAAUUAUUCUUUUUGUCACUGUCUUGUUACAUCCUGCAUAAAGUUAUUUUUCUUCACUUACGUUUGAUAUUUUUCUGGCUAACAAUUAGGAAUGUUUAACCCACCACUUUAAUUAACCCAUCCCAGAAAUGAGGACCCAUUUAGAACAGGAAAAAAGGGAUGUCUUUUAGCAUUUUCAAACUCUCCCUAUUUGCGGUAUUAUCAAUUCUCUAUAAUUUGUAGUCCCUAACACGCUUAAGAUACUCAUGCGCCCCUACUAUCUUCGAAGACAUAAACAAUUUGAACUCCAAUAUCUUGUUUUAUAAACAUGCACUUUAAUAAAUUCUUUGAAUUUUAACGUUGGGCAAAUUUCACUUCGUGAUACAAUAGACUUCUUGUUAAAAUACGAACUAAUCAGAAUCGUAAUUCCUAUUAUACAGUAGGAAGCAAAGCUUUUUAUCCUCGGUAAUUCUGUAAACGAUGAAUUAAGUGCAUCUAAAGAGGGGAAGUGAAAAGGAUAUAAUCAGAGAAAAUUUGAAAAGGCAGUCACUAAAGUUUGUAUUCUAUAUUUGCUAAAGCCGGUAAUUAAGUAAUAAGUCCAUAAUCGAAUUGAAGCCAUCAACGAGCCUAAGCCAAAGCCAUGAUAUUUACUAAAGAAACUAAGAAUAUAGAUAAAAACAAAGAAUAAUGGAGCCCAUAAAAAUUUUCGGACGUAACAUAAUAAAUAAAAUUAUAAUUAAAUACUUACGAAUAUACUUAGAGAAAUUUACAUUAUUAAUCUAAUCUAGUUAAUCCAUUAAAGAUUAAUAUAUAAAAAAUACAUCUAUCAAACACUUCUAAAUGCAUAGAAUGCACAAAGGAAACCCUAUACAUUAAUGUUGAAAAAAUAUAAAUUAUUUAUAUACAACAAAAAAUUUAUAUAUUAUAUAAUAAUUAGACCAACGCUCAUAUACUACUUCGAUAUGGUAGUGUGUUGAAAGCAAACCUUAAAGAAAAUUCAGAAAAGUGUUAGUGUUUAUUGUUCUGUAAAAUCAAUCACAAAUUAUCUAUUGUAGUAAGUUUAUGAUUAGCUUUUAAAUAUGUAUUCUGUGUUCGGCGAAACUGUAUUAAUUAAUUAAUUAAUAUUGUUAAUUAUUUAAUAAGUCCGUAUUCUGCAUUCUGUAAAGUGGCUAACAUUUAAUAAUUCCGUAUUUUGUAUUCUGCAACUAAGUAAUGAGUACUUUACACUUUGUAAGAUCGACAAUCAGUAUAUUACGCAUUUUAUAAAAAUGCUAAUAAAUUUAUCGAAAAAACAUAUCCAAAAAUUGGUGAGUCUUCAAGCAAUUGAACAAUCUGUAUUUUUUUACAAGCCUUUAUUUUUUUUACAGAAAGUCUAUUGAGACGAGAAGCUAUUCUUAUACACCACUUGUAAGAAAGAUAAUCAACUUGAAAUCUUUAUUCUAAAACUAUCUAUUAUCUCAAACCAAUUAAUCUAUCAAAUAUUCUUCUAUUUUAUCCUAUCAAUCAUGGGGCCACCUUAAAAAAAUUGUUAUUAAGAAUAUAUUUUAUUUGAUUCAAAAAUUAUAUUAAAAAAGUUUAUUUUUUAUAGUUGUCGAAUGAGAGGCUCUUCUUCUGUUCUACGUAUUCCUGUACCAGAUGAAUUACAUAAUUCUUUGAAUACUAGAACGCUACCAAUAUGGGCAAAUGUAAAUACUAGAAAUCAUUGCAGCAUUCUUGUGCACAAGAUUAGAUGCAUCUACCUUCAGGAUUAUAGUCUUCUCAAAUUGGUUAAAAUUUAGGAAUCGGCGAUCGGAUGCUUUAAACAUUAUAUAAUACGUGUCCUAAGGAAGGAGUUAUCUACUCUUGAGGAUCAUUUGUCACUGAAAUAGAAGCUAUCUUCAAUUCCUGUCAUCUUAAGCCAAUUUCAUUCGAUUCCCAUGAUCUUAAACUCCUGGAUAUUAUUUAAUUGCUGAUUUGUUAAUGAACUUAUCUGACUACAAUUUUUGGGUUAUGCCAUACUAGGUAGACUGUUAUACAGUAUCUGGUAGCAUAUUCAAAAGAUCAAACAGGACUUUUGAAGAAGGUGAUAUAAGAAACGUAUAAACGAGAUCAACAUGCACCACAAAUAUCCAAGAAGCACGCAAAUAUUCAAUAAAUACGAUCAUUGAAAGAAACAAUACAUUGGGCAUUGCAAAUCCACCUGGAACAUGAUGAUGUCAAGCACAUCGUAACAUUAUAAACUACAUUUGGCAUAAUUAACUGCGAUGUCACUAAAUUCGUACCAUUAUCAAUCGAUAAGGACGAUAAAAGUAAUACAAAAUGAUAUUCCUUAAUUUGUUAAGAAAAUAGUGAUAUAAUUUUUAAUAGAAUAACAUGGAUGGAUAAAUAAUAUGCAAUGUAUAAUUAAUAUAUGUUAAAUUAUAAGCAUGGUAUGAAGCUGUGUAUAUUUAUGGUAUAUAGUAUUCAUAUCAUAACAUAUCAAUGGAGGGGGGGGGGGGAUUAUGUAUUUUUUCAUAUACUCUUUCAUAAAACUCCUCUUUUCCCUUUCCUUAAUUUUUUACGGUUAAGAAAUCCUUAGAUACUUCGCGUAAUUAGAGUUGCAUUUCGCACAUCGAAAGAUAAAGUUGAAUAAAAGGUUGACCAUUGCGAGUUUUAUAAUAUAUAAAGAUCAUUCAAGUCAUUUACGUAAUUACGCGAAUAUAACUGUAUCUUAAUUUACUCACCGUUUGUUAUAUUAUUAAAUAAAAUUUUAUAAACAUGCACUAUUGCAAAAUUAAUUUUACAGCAUUAAUUUGGUGUAAGACAAUUGGCAAACCAUACUGAAUGGAUUUUGAUUCGUCCAAUCGGAUAUAGCAAGAUUAUUGUUAGUACCACAGAACCAAUUGUAGCUUAUAUAUAUUUCGUUUUAUGGUAUCAUUGUUCUACUAAUAGUAUUAUUGUUCUACUAGA